This 244-nucleotide ribosomal RNA is filed under the name uncultured bacterium. Its description in RNAcentral is "partial small subunit ribosomal RNA". It matches the Rfam family "Bacterial small subunit ribosomal RNA", at positions 26 to 285 of the family's 1533-position model. The record is from RNAcentral.
AGGACGAACGCUGGCGGCGUGCUUAACACAUGCAAGUCGAACGAGGUGCUUGCACCUAGUGGCGAACGGGUGAGUAACACGUGAGCAACCUGCCCUUGGCUCUGGGAUAGCCUCCGGAAACGGGGAUUAAUACCGGACAUGACCUUGGUCUGCAUGGACUGAGGUGGAAAGUUUUUCGGCCAGGGAUGGGCUCGCGGCCUAUCAGCUUGUUGGGGGGUACGGCCCACCAAGGCGACGACGGGUA